GGAUCAAUUAAUUGGUCGUGCCUCUGGUACGUACUGGUAUUGUUGGUUUCUCCCUUCUGACGAACCAUGAUGUCAUUAACUUGGUGUCAUGGGAAAUCAGGACUGUUACUUUGAAAAAAUUAGAGUGUUUAAAGCAGGCUCACGCUUGAAUACAUUAGCAUGGAAUAAUGAAAUAGGACGUUCGAUCCUAUUUUGUUGGUUUUUAGGAUCAACGUA
Molecule: ribosomal RNA, 216 nt
Filed under: Campeiostachys nutans
Lineage: Eukaryota; Viridiplantae; Streptophyta; Magnoliopsida; Poales; Poaceae
Description: Elymus nutans partial small subunit ribosomal RNA
Rfam family: Eukaryotic small subunit ribosomal RNA (bases 38-216)
Source: RNAcentral